UCUCCAGGUGAACUCCCUGUCCAGGUUGGAUGUCAGCAAGAAAAGGCAGAGCAGCGCUGAGCAUAUGACACUUUUCCUUUCAUUUCUAGACGUCUGUGUCGACACAUACUUCUGCAGAGCCGGCUCCGUGGGGGCGCUGACCCAGCGGGCCCAGGGGGAGGGCUCUGCAGCUGAGAAAUGGAAACCCACCAGGAAAAUCCACGAAGAGAGGAAGGGGAACCGGAGAAGCCCAGGAGGAGGAGGAGAUGCCUCCCCGGGGAACGCCCAGAUGACCAAGAGGUUCCCAGGCCUCUUAAUCCAACCCAAAAGGAAGCCACUUGUGGGCAGAUUUAUCUCCCGAGGUUUGUUUCCGGCCCUGAGUUUACCUGAGUUCCCCGGUGCACACGCAGGCGUGGCCGUCUGUCCUGACGGCGCUGCUGCCUCCUGGGUCUGAUGGAGUCCCGUCUACACCCGGAGCCCCCCUGCAGGACCCUCGUCACCGGGCCAGCCUCCCUGCUCCCGCUGGGGGAACCGGGGGGUGGCGAUGAAAGCUUUCCGCCUUUUUUUCCUGCCAAUGACCAAAUUCGAAUGUACAAUUUAAAAGCUACAUUGGCACUUUCCACCCCACUGCCUGCGAUGAUUGUGCCGAGAUUAUUAAACCCGUCAUAAAUAA
Molecule: long non-coding RNA, 652 nt
Organism: Canis lupus familiaris (dog)
Lineage: Eukaryota; Metazoa; Chordata; Mammalia; Carnivora; Canidae
Exons: 3
Source: RefSeq, a predicted model, not a curated record